GCAUGUCGCCAUGCUCCAUGCUCCAUCCUUCCGGAUAGUACAAGACACCACAUUCAAGGGAAGGGACAUAUGUCCAAAUUUCAUUGGCGGGGCUACCUCAUCUGUGACUGCUGUGCUCUAAGGUUCUGGUGGAAAUUUGAGCAAAACCAACGUGCUGAAAACAACCCUUCAUUCAAACUCUCACAUUUCACAAAAUUUCAGGCAACCUAAACUGAGUCGCCCAGGAGGAAAGACAUCUUCAAAAUAAUUGUAUACCAAAGAAAACUUUCCAGCACAAUUCUGCUUGUUUUCACGAUCUGCACUGAUAAGCAAAAGAAAAGGAGGAUCCCAACAGCAAUAAGUGCCCAGAGAAGGAGAAAAUCCUCUCUGUGCAGAAAUCUCAAAAUACAGGAGGUGGUAUCUCAAAAGCAACAGCGUGAACUCCUGAGAAUAGAAACUUAGGAACUUUCUGGGUCAUACAAAAAUCUAAUAAUAUCUAGAGCUGGAUUGGCUGAAAACCACUAAAAAAUCUGCGAAAGAAAGCAGCAUUAAGAUCAAAUAUUAAGUGGUUACCCUGGACAAGAUUAAUGAAAUGAUUGCCAGGAAUCACUUAAGUACAAAGAAUAAAAAAAAAGAGA
Molecule: long non-coding RNA, 617 nt
Organism: Talpa occidentalis (Iberian mole)
Lineage: Eukaryota; Metazoa; Chordata; Mammalia; Eulipotyphla; Talpidae
Exons: 3
Source: RefSeq, a predicted model, not a curated record